This 434-nucleotide ribosomal RNA is filed under the name uncultured bacterium. Its description in RNAcentral is "partial 16S ribosomal RNA". It matches the Rfam family "Bacterial small subunit ribosomal RNA", at positions 29 to 507 of the family's 1533-position model. The record is from RNAcentral.
AUGAACGCUGGCGGUAUGCUUAACACAUGCAAGUCGAACGGACUCUUCGGAGUUAGUGGCGGACGGGUGAGUAACGCGUGAGAAUCUGGCUUUGGGUUCGGGACAACCACUGGAAACGGUGGCUAAUACCGGAUGUGCCGAGGGGUAAAAGAGAAAUUGCCUGAAGAUGAGCUCGCGUCUGAUUAGCUAGUUGGUGAGGUAAAGGCUCACCAAGGCAGCGAUCAGUAGCUGGUCUGAGAGGAUGACCAGCCACACUGGGACUGAGACACGGCCCAGACUCCUACGGGAGGCAGCAGUGGGGAAUUUUCCGCAAUGGGCGAAAGCCUGACGGAGCAAUACCGCGUGAGGGAAGAAGGCUCUUGGGUUGUAAACCUCUUUUCUUAGGGAAGAACAAAAUGACGGUACCUAAGGAAUCAGCAUCGGCUAACUCCGUG